AAACAUUCAACAACGGAUCUCUUGGUUCUGGCAUCGAUGAAGAACGCAGCGAAAUGCGAUAAGUAAUGUGAAUUGCAGAAUUCAGUGAAUCAUCGAAUCUUUGAACGCACAUUGCGCCCCUUGGUAUUCCGAGGAGCAUGCCUGUUCGAGCGUCAUU
Molecule: ribosomal RNA, 157 nt
Filed under: uncultured fungus
Lineage: Eukaryota; Fungi
Description: 5.8S ribosomal RNA
Rfam family: 5.8S ribosomal RNA
About the family: 5.8S ribosomal RNA (5.8S rRNA) is a component of the large subunit of the eukaryotic ribosome. It is transcribed by RNA polymerase I as part of the 45S precursor that also contains 18S and 28S rRNA. Functionally, it is thought that 5.8S rRNA may be involved in ribosome translocation.
Source: RNAcentral